Long non-coding RNA from Gallus gallus (chicken), 3703 nucleotides. The record is from Ensembl. NCBI's taxonomy places the organism in Eukaryota, Metazoa, Chordata, Aves, Galliformes, Phasianidae.
AUUAAAGGUAAUGAUGCAGUUACACAAUGAAUUCUAACUGUACUAUACGUGUACUUGGCACUUUGUGUGGUAUGAUUUAAAAAAGGAUGGAGGAGAGACAGGUAAAUACCGAGUGAUGCCGUAUGCUGGGUUCUUGGAAUUCCCACAUUUUUGGGAAUUAGUCCUACACAGGUAUCACAGUAAUCACAGCCUCAGUCUGUAUUAGUACAUGACAGAGCGAGCACUGAGGGGAAUGAGCAUCUGUCUGCAGUCAGCUCAUGAACAACUUUCUAUUGCCCAGAUUUUGUGGGUUUGAGUUUUAUCUGGACGGUUCCUUAGCAACCUUAUUUGUUUUCACUGACUGCUUUCUGGGUUUGACUGUGAUGGAUUUCCCGCCCCCACUCAUGUGGUUGUAGCUGGGGAGGGUUAGAAGAGAGCCUGAAGAGAGGGAAGUCAGGCACCAGCCAUAGCUGGUACAGCACUGACUGCUGUGUUGUCCAGCCAGCAAAAACAAACAAACAAACCAAAAGCUGAGGACUGUUGCUUAUUCCAGAUGCUGUCAAAUUGAAGGAAACUAGAGCAGAAUUGUUAGAGACAUUUUCAAUAUUAAAGAGAAGGAAGUGGAAAAAAUGUGAGCUAUAUAUAAUGACAUAGCCAUACAUAAUCCAUGUGAGCAUGUGUACUAUGGGUGGUGCAAAUAGUCCUCCUGUGUCUCCAUCGCAGUUUGUCUCCUCUUGGACGCUGCCAAAGUACCUCGAAGUAAGGCUGAUACAUCCCUGAGAAACAGAUCAGCUGUAACAGAAGUCAUGUUCCCUAAAAUCUUACAAGGAAAAGAAGACAGAAGGCACCUGAAUAUGAAGCCUGUGUAGGAUUCCCUUCUAAACUGAUGGAUGUUCAAAGGAAACAACCUGACUGGUGCCGUAGAGGAAGAAUAACUCUGCUGUCAUGCAUUUAUGCACAAUAACAAGGAAGAGCCAACAAAGGUGUUUUGAGGGACUGAGGCACUUAGUGAGAUGGUCUGAACAAACUGAAAUGAGGAAUUAGGAGUCAAACUCCGAAGCCAGAGUUCAGGAGCCAGAGCCAAGGGCAGGAGGAAGAGCUGUCCUGUCCACCGCUGUGUUGGAGAUGUAGAUCACACAAGGAAAUCUGCAGGAAAGGCCUAAGCAGGCUCUUCCACCCUAUCCUCCAUCCCUGGAUGCUAUGGAGCUGUGCUAUGAAUAAGGCUUUUUGAGCUGUGUUGAAUGCUUUUGUUUAAUGAACUUGAAUAAAAUAUGAGGUUGUGUUUGCUCUAGUCUGAGCAUGAGCAGAAGUACAAGGGAACUGUGUGGUAGUGUGUUAUGUUUGGAAAGCUUCACUACUUCCUCACACGGUCCCCAGCUCCUCUGAAGACAGAUUCAGUUGUUCUCUUCAGUUAUGAAAAAUACUUUAAAUCUACUUUGGACUCCACCAGCCCUCUGUUGCUGUUUUCAGGAGCAGAAGCCAGAUGACUGAAAUCAGAAUCCUUCUGGUCUUCCAAGUCUUCUCUUGGGCAUUGACUUGGAAGAUGGGAAAAGGAGAAAUCAGAACUUGUGAAUUACAUCUGCAAAAACAAUGUUGAAGACUGUCUGAAAACUGACACAUACAGGAAUUGUUUUCCUGCAGGUCGCAGAGGAGUGUUGAGCAGUUUCUUACUGUGCUGAGUAAAAUCCAAGGGAAACCCUUAAUGAGAACAAGCGUUCCUGUUUUUGUCUGGAGGAUCAUUACUCCUCUUUUGUAUUUUGUGCUUGCCAAGAAGUACUUGUGCGAUGAAAGUGGUUUGUUGUUUUAUACUGAUGGUUUGGGUGUGGGAUGUGGGAAUUCCUGCAUCUAGGUUCUGGGGACCAGAAAAUCCAACUCAGCUCGCUGCUGUGGGAGAGAUCUUAAUGGGACCAUGAAAGAUCAGCAGAUGUUUAAACAACGAUAUCUACAGGAUGAAUGUUUGUAAGCGAUAUGAACCUUCCUUUUACAAGCACGCUGACAUUUUGUAGACUGCAAUGAGGAAAGAGCUGUGAGGAAAAUGGAACUUCUGGGAAUUGCAACAUUUUCAGACCUCGUGGUGUUUCUAAUCAGAACGAAAAGCCAGAACUUCUCACUGAAAGAAAAUUCUGUGGAUAGGAGUCCUGGGGAUAGCUGAUUUGUGGCAAUGGAAACAUUUUGUGCCUUUGUAUUCCGAAUAAUGUGCUCAUAGUGCAAACAGCAACGCUAAUAUUUUUAAAUUGAAGAAAUUCAGGUGAAAAUUCGAAGUACAGCACUUAUGUCACAAGACCAAAACCACAAGCAUGCUCAACUCGCAUCAAGAGUUCUUUUGAUCUGAUGUGACACGAUUUAGAGAUGGGCUUUUCCAAAGAUAGAUUUAGCCAGAUGUGGAAAAUAAACUGCAUUGUCUGAGGUAGCACUGAGCUGCAUUUGUCUAUCACUCUGGAAUUUAAAACGAGGAUAAGUGUCCUGUGCUUUGGAUAAGAGUAAGAAAAUAGGGAGAAAAUCAGCAUAGUUCUAUUUCAAUACCUCUGCCAUUAUUUCAUAGUAUAGGGAAAGUUGCAGUUUAUAAAGUUCCCGAGCUGGAGAUGAUCUCCUGUUUGCUGAGGGCUUUUUUUUUUUUUUUUUUUUUUUUAUUACCAGAUAUUUUUUUUUGUGACUUUGUCUACUGGUUUGUUAAGUUUAUCAUUUUGGCAUCUUAAAUAUUUUGUAUUGACUAGUUCUAUAAUUUAGCUUUGUUGAGUGAAAUAGUAAUUUUUGGGUUAACCUUGAUGCUCAAUGGUUCUCUUGGAGGUCCCUUAGCUCUUCUAUUUGAAAGUUAGCAGAUAAACAUUUCCUUUUGCCUGUUUCAUGCCAGUCAUGACUUAAUAGGCCUUAGUUUUCUUAGUGAUUUCUUUCCCAAGCUGUAAGGUUCUGAUUAAUUUAAAUGCUUCUCACUCAAACGCAGUAUCAAAUUGCUGAUUUGUCCUCUUUGUACUUUUCCUAGUUCUGCAGCAUUCUUCCUGACAAUGUGGUGAAUAGGAUCGUAUGCAUUAUCGUAGAUGUUGCUGCAAGACUAAUUAAGACAAGCAACAAUGUAUUUUGAUUUUUCUCUUCUUAAUAAUGAUUAAUGUUCUAUAAGCAUGUUAGAUAAUAUUGUUUAGUGAAGGAAAUAUUGUUUAGAGAAGGAAACAAAGCAAGUCCAGGAUCUCUCUUCUCUGGUGAGCCUUCUGAUGAAAAUAGCCUACUAGAAAUCACUAUUUUACAUACUUAGAAGAAGGGUUUUUUUGUCAUUUAAGUUUCUCAGUACUGAAUACAACCUACUAGUUUUCCUUCUGGUUGCUGGGUAUAUUCAAGUUCUUCCACAGUUUGCAAUUUGAUUUAUGUUGGACCUUUCUAUAUUUUUAAUAGACUUUAUCCAUGUUCUGUGGAAUAUUUGUCAGGUCCUGUGAUUUGGCAACGCUGACCGAUGCUCUGUGAAAAUUUGCUGAUGAUGCUGUUGGUGUUGUAGAGACCAGCAUCACCUGCAAGAAUAUCCAGAUGACCCUUUUGAGAAUGCUAUUUUAAUGCCAGUCAAAUUGAAUUAACUGUUGCCCUUCCUGGAGCGAGGCUGAGCAGCACCAUGCACUGUGUGCAGAGUUGGCUGCAAGCUGCAUUGUCCUGCUUUCACGUCACACCAUCUCUUAUGCUCGAAUCCACUUCCAAAUUUAGCCACACAGAUGAAGAAAUGAAUUGCAGGCACAGAUCAUUC